AGAGGGGUUUUUGCAACAGAGCUCUUGUGACAAGGCCAAGAGGCCAUAAUGCUCUGGGACUUGUGCUUCUUCUGAAAAAUAAUCAUUUCUUUCUCUUUUUGACAAAUAAUUCAGAUGCCGGGCCAGCGUCAGAGCAGCGGGGAAGUUGCCCUUGCCCCUGGCUGCACCCACUUCCUCCUGAGCCCAGGAGAGAGUGGGCCCGGCUGCCGUCUCCCUGGCCAUGGCUCUCUGAGCUGGUCCCAGUCUUGUGUUUCCCAACAGGCCCCAAACAGACAUGUUUCCUCAGCGACCAACCGGAAAGCCUGGCUCCCCUCCCACCUCCUACUCAGAGGGACCAGAUGUGUGAUCCUCAGGGACCUCAGGAAGACCGGCCCUGCCUCCUGCCCUGCCCCAGCCAGCACUGCUCAGCCGUCUGGGGCAUCUGGACCCCGUGCGGACAGUGCAGGGCACCUAGGAAGAAGAGUACUUCCCACAAGGCUGCACGCUUUGUGUGCAUUACCUCUGUCUGCCCAAGAAUGAAGCGAUGAAUGCCAUGUGCCUUAACAGUGGAGGAAAUUGAAAUUCAGAGAAGUGGGGUGUCUGCCCAGGGCAUGGAGGAUUCCCAGCUAGAAUGGCACCUCCAACCCCAGGAAGUUCCAGUCUGCGAUGGAAGGACAAAACCCGAGGGUAAUCUAAUUGCACUUUGAUGAGGCUUAGAAUACAGUGCUACUGGGGAGGAGGGACCGAGGAGGGUUUGGGCCUUGAAUGCCAAACAGACUGCGGACAGCCGAAGAAGGCUUUGUGUCCCUUGUUGAGGGAGUGGGAGGUGAGGCUGGAAAGGCCAGCUAAAGUCAGACUCUGAGGGUCUUGAGUGACCUCCUGAUUAUUACUAUGGUUUAACCUUAUCACAUAGGUUACAGGGAGCCAUCGACGGGGGGAGAAUGGGUCUCCUUUAGGCCCCUUCCCAGGGCUCCCUGGCUGAAUGAAAGCAUAAAUGCCGAUUGAGAACCUUCGAUGUGCUGGCACUUGCUGGAUUUAGAAGUGACUUAAACACAUGUAAGACUUUAACGAGGUGAUGCCUCAGUGACCAGAGAGCAGAUGAUGACGUGGGGAGUGGGGAUCACUGCUGAAACCUGACCCUCAUGAGAGGUGCAGCUCUCAGCAAAGAAAGAAGAAGUCCCUUGACCCAGGACGGGGCAGAGGGGUGGUUGGAGGAGGGGGGUAAAUUCUCUCUCAGGCUGUUUCCUUUAGGGGAGAGAGCUUUGCAGUGGCCACUCUGCUGGAGUUCAGCAUGAUAGAUGACAAUGGCAAUGAGAAAAAGCCACCAAUGGUCCGGACACCGUGUUUGCCAAGGAAUUGCAGAGUAAAGAAAAAUAAAUGAAAGAUUUUCACCUCCAGCCCCAGAAGAAGGACACAGAGGUGGUGGUGUUCUAAGUAAAGGUCCAGAGGGACACAGAAGUGAGGACAUGGUGAAGGAGGCCGGUGGAAUCAAGAGAGGCUCCUCAGAGGUGAUGACAUUUAAGGGGCACCUUGAGUUCAGAGUGCACCAGGCUCCUUGGCUGGCAGAUGCGACGUUGAUAAGAUGGUGACUGUCCCACUAAGGGGUCCCCAGGCUCUUGUGGAAUUCAAGAUCCCAGCUUCGGAGUUCCUGAUCCCCCAUGUUCCUUUCAGGACAGUGGCCUAAACUCAUUCAAGAGUACCCAUUGGGGAGUUCCUGUGUCGUGGCUCAGUGGAAAUGAAUCCGACUAGUAUCCAAGAGGAUGCAGGUUUGAUCCCUCGCCUCCCUCAGUGGGUUAAGGAUCUGGCAUUGAUGU
Molecule: non-coding RNA, 1793 nt
Organism: Sus scrofa (pig)
Lineage: Eukaryota; Metazoa; Chordata; Mammalia; Artiodactyla; Suidae
Source: RefSeq, a predicted model, not a curated record